This 1507-nucleotide long non-coding RNA is filed under the name Vulpes vulpes (red fox). RNAcentral describes it as "lncRNA (ENSVVUG00000020097.1)". Lineage: Eukaryota; Metazoa; Chordata; Mammalia; Carnivora; Canidae. The record is from RNAcentral.
AUGAUGAGCAAAACCAGCCAAUCGCCAGCUGGAGGGGGCGGAGGCUGCGGUCGCCUCGCGUUGCUGUCGGCUGCUCGGAGACGCCUGCACAGCGCCUGGAGAGGAAGCUCGCGAGCUCGCAGGCGUGUGCGCACACACACGCGCACACACACACACACGCGCGCACACACACACACACGCGCGCACACACACACGCGCGCGCACACACACACACACGCGCCCUCGCUCGCUCGCUCGCGCGCGCACGCACCAGCCCUCGCACCCCCGGGGGCGAUCGCGGCGCGCCAGGAGGAAGUCGGGUCGCCCUCCCGGGAAGCCGAAGCGGCAGCUCCCUCUGCACGAGCGCGGAGACGGUCUGUCCUCAGCAAAGAGGAGAGGACGCCGCCUCUGGGGACAGAUUGGAGACGCGGUCUUGCUCGAGAGAUGCUUCGUUUUCGUGCAGAGCGGAGGAGUCAAGGAAACUCCAGUCCUCCUUAAACUUCACUGCGGAGAAACGGAAUUCUGAGAAAAAGCAGCCACAAAGGACCCUUUAUAAANNNNNNNNNNNNNNNNNNNNNNNNNNNNNNNNNNNNNNNNNNNGGGCUAGGAAGGUAAGAUGAAAGCAGAGAAGGAAGGGCAAGCUCUUGCUCCGAAGUCCCAGGGACGCGUCUUUAGCUUCCGAUUUUCACCGUCUCUCACCUGCCACUGUUUCCCCUACUCCGGUUGUGUCGUGUGGCAGGGGCCGCUCCAGUCCUGGUGAACCUGCGCCGCCCUCGGCCUCGCCGUCACCUGGACAGAGCUUGCUGCUCCUGCUCCGCGGGGCACCCAUGCCUGGGCUGGUGGGAAGGGGUGCCGAGGCCCCCCACUGCGAAAUCUUGUCUGGGAACCAAGGAUCUCCCCCAUCUGUAAGCGAACUUUCCAGUUGCUCCACUUUUUCUCCUCCUCCCUCCCCUUCCCAUAGUCCAACUAGUCAACUCUCUCUCUCUCUCUCUCUCUCUCUCUCUCUCUCUCUCUCGAUUGAGUUACUUGUUCCUUCAGGUUGUGCAGGUUGUGCAGUGGCUCCAGCUGCCAUCCACUCUUGGACCCUGGGGUUCAUCCCUCCUCCAGCCCAGAAACCCUGAGGCCCACCCCAGUCCUUGGGCAGAGCUGAGCAAGAAGGGGGGUUCUGAGCGACUAGUCCCCUGACUGCUUAAGAUAACAACUGUAACAGCUGGCACCUCUGCCUAAAAAGACUCCCGAGGUCCCUGCCAAUGUUUGCCACUCCUCGCCUAAGGUUUAAGAAGUUAAGAGCCUCUCGGUUGGUUCUCAAGCCUCGUCUUAGCGGCAGAGUGAACGAGGGGGUUGGGUCUACAAUGCUCAAAGGAGCAAGUAAUUAUGAGCCUUUAUUGACACUACAAGUGGCCCGCCGGGAGCCUUUGGAGUUUAUUGAUGUCUAGGCAAAUCCCGCUAGCAUCCCUGUCACACUGACUUCUCAACCAGCAGAAACUGCACGAAUAAAACAGCUGCUUAUUUAAGUUAAAAGGGAACU